Molecule: long non-coding RNA, 1241 nt
Organism: Phalaenopsis equestris
Lineage: Eukaryota; Viridiplantae; Streptophyta; Magnoliopsida; Asparagales; Orchidaceae
Exons: 6
Source: RefSeq, a predicted model, not a curated record
UAAGGAACGCUUUUGAUACUAUUAGUUGGGACUACAUUAUUUAUAUCUUGUAGGCUAAAGGCUUUAAACAAGAUUUCUGUUCUCUCAUUCAGAGGUGGCUAACAAUUAUAGUGUGAUGAUUUAUGGUCCUGCACACUAUUUUCCGAGCUUGUAGUUGCGGCUAUUCUAUAUCAUUGCAGCUCCCUCACUGUUUGCAGAAGAAUAUAUAUGUGCAGCUCCCUUACUGUUUGUAGAAGAAGAAGGAUUUUGAAAAGACGGGAAGUCUCCCUUAUAUUAACGGACGUGGCACCCUAAAUCACUAAAGGAAGUAGAAGCUCACUAGCCAAUGGUUAUAGUUGUAGUGCUGACAAUGUGAGCACUCUUGGCAUACUGGCAUCGAUUCCAGAUUUGAUACCGACACUGACACCACCAUCACCAUCAGCCGUGAAUUUCACACUAGCACCACCAUCAAAUCUGACUACCACACCGACACCACCAUUAGUUGUGAAUUCAAAAAUAACAUUGCCACAAGCUGCUCUGAUCGCACUGGUAUCGUCACUCUUGAUACUGAUGCAUCAUCCAAAUUAAGCACCACCUACAACAUUUUUCAACUUUGGGAUGUGGGAAGGAGGUUCCAAUCCCAGUUCAAGAAAUGUGGUUUGAAGAGUUCAAGAAAUAAUGAUAUUGGCCUCCUGAGAAGGAGGAGGUCCACAUCAAAAAAAUCUUUGAGUGCAAGGAGAACUUUUAGAGGAUGAAUGUGAGUCGGUUGCAACAGCUGAGUGGUAUUACAAUCAUAGAUCAUAGUAUGUCCAACUAUGACCUGUGAAGGGGGUUAGCUGGUGGAAAGAAAAAGGGCCAAGUUUAUGGUUUAGGGUCUUAGGCAUCGACCUACAAUGUCUGUCCCUCCAACUCAUCUGGUGCAUCAACAUCUACUGCCUAGAAGGAGGAGCUUCAUGGGUAGGUGGACAUGUUGACUUCUAAUAUUAAUGCCAGACUUGUUGCUAAGCUUGUUUCACAGAUCUCAACUUAGCUAAACCAAAUAAGAUCAGACAUAGAGUUGAAGAUGAAGAUGGAUUUUGAUCCAAUAUUGUGGCAUGCUCGAUGGAGAGAAAAGUGGCCAAAUGAGGAGCUACCAGAUGAGGAAUGACCAUAUGAAGAUGAUUCAAAUGAGGAAGAUGAUGAGAGGAAAUAUAAUGAGUAGAUACAUAUUUUUUCAUGUUUGUUUAUUGAUAACAAUUAUUUCAAGCGAACAUCAUUUUUUA